Molecule: small RNA, 260 nt
Filed under: Arabidopsis thaliana (thale cress)
Lineage: Eukaryota; Viridiplantae; Streptophyta; Magnoliopsida; Brassicales; Brassicaceae
Description: ATSL190540
Source: RNAcentral
UCAAAUUGAUUGAAAUAUGACAAAAGAAAAGAAGUCAAAAGCUUACCAAUCUCUUCAAAGUUGCAUAGCCAAUUCCUCGCACAUAUCAAAGCUUGAACUGUAGAAGGAAGAAGACAACUCCGAUACUUGUUUAAAACCCGACUUCCUAUGCUGAAUGAAGACUCUGAAGCUACAGUUGUAAUGGAUGAAACACGCCCACGGGCCGCCCGUCCAUUUUGAGAGCUCUAUUGUUUUAUAAAAAUGGAUGAAACUUUAGUAGU